RNAcentral lists this microRNA (21 nucleotides) under Arabidopsis thaliana (thale cress). RNAcentral describes it as "ath-miR8179". The record is from miRBase by way of RNAcentral. Lineage: Eukaryota; Viridiplantae; Streptophyta; Magnoliopsida; Brassicales; Brassicaceae.
UGACUGCAUUAACUUGAUCGU